GAUGAACGCUGGCGGCGUGCCUAAUACAUGCAAGUCGAGCGAACGGACGAGAAGCUUGCUUCUCUGAUGUUAGCGGCGGACGGGUGAGUAACACGUGGAUAACCUACCUAUAAGACUGGGAUAACUUCGGGAAACCGGAGCUAAUACCGGAUAAUAUUUUGAACCGCAUGGUUCAAAAGUGAAAGACGGUCUUGCUGUCACUUAUAGAUGGAUCCGCGCUGCAUUAGCUAGUUGGUAAGGUAACGGCUUACCAAGGCAACGAUGCAUAGCCGACCUGAGAGGGUGAUCGGCCACACUGGAACUGAGACACGGUCCAGACUCCUACGGGAGGCAGCAGUAGGGAAUCUUCCGCAAUGGGCGAAAGCCUGACGGAGCCACGCCGCGUGAGUGAUGAAGGUCUUCGGAUCGUAAAACUCUGUUAUUAGUGAAGAACAUAUGUGUAAGUAACUGUGCACAUCUUGACGGUACCUAAUCAGAAAGCCACGGCUAACUACGUG
This 497-nucleotide ribosomal RNA is filed under the name uncultured bacterium. Its description in RNAcentral is "partial 16S ribosomal RNA". It matches the Rfam family "Bacterial small subunit ribosomal RNA", at positions 28 to 507 of the family's 1533-position model. The record is from RNAcentral.